AGGGAACUCAAACUCCUAGCCUUGCUACCUAAGUUGUUUUACACGCAAUAAGGUAUCUUGGCCGUGGCGAUGUCAGCCACCAGGGUGCAGAGUGGAAACGCUCGCAUCUCCCGUAUUUGGAAGGUGUUAUGGUACCGCAACU
This 142-nucleotide non-coding RNA is filed under the name Serratia sp. (in: enterobacteria). RNAcentral describes it as "Serratia sp. MoCo sequence". It matches the Rfam family "Molybdenum/Tungsten riboswitch aptamer (Moco RNA motif)". Lineage: Bacteria; Pseudomonadati; Pseudomonadota; Gammaproteobacteria; Enterobacterales; Yersiniaceae. RNAcentral also lists the same sequence under 1 other name. The record is from RNAcentral.